Cercophora newfieldiana is the source of this 85-nucleotide non-coding RNA. The record is from the annotation of a GenBank genome assembly. Lineage: Eukaryota; Fungi; Ascomycota; Sordariomycetes; Sordariales; Lasiosphaeriaceae.
GCCCGCUUGGCUCAGUGGUAGAGCGUGUCACUAGUAAUGAUCACUAGUAAUGACAAGGUCGUCAGUUCAAUUCUGGCAGUGGGCA